UAGGGGGGACGUGGAUUGAGAGGGAUGUGGUGUGUAGCCUUAAUGGGAAGCACUGCCAUUCUUAGAGGGAGAUGUUUGUUAUCCCUCGCUGUGAUUAUUAAAGAAUUUGAACUGGGUGGUAUGAAGCCGAUCAAAGCCAUGAAGUUUUGAGUGAAGAGUCAUGCCUUCUCCAUGUCUGGCCUUCCCUCUUGAAGAAAUGAGUGGAGGGCGACAUCUGCUGGAGGAUAUAAGGCCUUUUGAAGCGAAGCGAAAUUUAAACCCCUCACCCACCCACCAAGACAAGGGUUGCUGGAAUGGGAAUGUGCAAUUCUUCAGCUAGAAUCGCACUCUUCUACCUUAACUGUGGUUUUGUGUUAUACCAGAAUUAAUGGCAACCACAGUCACUGCAAAUGAGGCUUCCUCUUAACUAUGGAAGCCUGAGAUCCUGGAUUCAAAUCUUGGUUAAGAGGGAAUCCCACUGGCAAAAGAAACUGGAGCCAAAGGAGGAGAGGGGAGGGCAGCCCUAUGCCUCCCAAAUAUUAUGUUGCGUGAUUUGCUUUUAAAACUACCGCUCAUUUGUUUUUAA
This is a non-coding RNA of Podarcis muralis (Common wall lizard), 565 nucleotides long. The record is from RefSeq and is a predicted model, not a curated record. NCBI's taxonomy places the organism in Eukaryota, Metazoa, Chordata, Lepidosauria, Squamata, Lacertidae.